CUCACUAAGGUGCACAUUCUGAGUAGGAUCAACACCAGAGUGGUUGUUGUCAAGAGAGCAGCUCUUACUAACGGUCUAUAGGCCUUACCUAAACAGGAAACCCUUGAAUCUUAGAUUUUCCCCAUUAUAAGGACUCAUUAUCAUCUGGCAUAUUCUGUCCCACUCAGGAGAUCUUCUAGAAUAGAGCUCUCAGCUUCUGCACUGCCUAGCCAUGCUCUUAGUGGUCAUUCUAUUGACUGGAAUGUUCUUCACACUGAGAGGAACCAGAGCCCAGUCGGUGACCCAGCUUGAUGGCCAUAUCACUGUCUCUGAAGGAGCCUCUCUGAAGUUGAGGUGCAACUAUUCCUAUAGCGGAACUCCUUAUCUCUUCUGGUAUGUCCAACACCCCAGCCAAAGCCUCCAGCUUCUCCUCAAGGACCUAACAGGGGCCACCCAGGUUAAAGGCAUCAAAGGUUUUGAAGCUGAAUUUAAGAAGAGUGAAACCUCCUUCCACCUGAGGAAGCCAUCAGCCCAUGUGAGCGACACAGCUGUGUACUUCUGUGCUGUGAGUGACACAGUGCCUGGGAGUGCAGGCAGAGCUGAACACAAACUUCCUGAGACAUGA
Cebus imitator (Panamanian white-faced capuchin) is the source of this 604-nucleotide non-coding RNA. The record is from the annotation of a RefSeq genome assembly. NCBI's taxonomy places the organism in Eukaryota, Metazoa, Chordata, Mammalia, Primates, Cebidae.